RNAcentral lists this ribosomal RNA (344 nucleotides) under uncultured bacterium. Its description in RNAcentral is "bacterial SSU rRNA". It matches the Rfam family "Bacterial small subunit ribosomal RNA", at positions 163 to 507 of the family's 1533-position model. The record is from RNAcentral.
CUAAAAUCAGAUGAUGCAGCGGCUCGACAUCGAGACAGUUGUUAAAUCCUCGGAGCCUAAAGAUGAGCCUGCGUCUGAUUAGGUAGUUGGCGGUGUAAUGGACCACCAAGCCUGCGAUCAGUAGCUAGUCUGAGAGGAUGAUCAGCCACACUGGAACUGAGACACGGUCCAGACUCCUACGGGAGGCAGCAGUAAGGAAUAUUGCUCAAUGGCCGAAAGGCUGAAGCAGCAACGCCGCGUGGAGGAUGAAAUACUUUUGUAUGUAAACUCCUGUAAGAAGGGAAAAAUGUUCCGAUUCAUCGGAAUUGAUUGUACCUUCAGAGUAAGCCCCGGCUAACUACGUG